GACGAACGCUGGCGGCGUGCUUAACACAUGCAAGUCGAACGGAAAGGCCCUGCUUUUGUGGGGUGCUCGAGUGGCGAACGGGUGAGUAACACGUGUGUAACCUGCCCUUGACUUUGGGAUAACUUCAGGAAACUGGGGCUAAUACCGGAUAGGAUCUCCUGCUGCAUGGUGGGGGGUGGAUAGUUUCGGCGGUUGGGGAUGGACUCGCGGCUUAUCAGCUUGUUGGUGGGGUAGUGGCUUACCAAGGCUUUGACGGGUAGCCGGCCUGUGAGGGUGACCGGCCACAUUGGGACUGAGAUACGGCCCAGACUCCUACGGGAGGCAGCAGUGGGGAAUAUUGCACAAUGGGCGGAAGCCUGAUGCAGCAACGCCGCGUGCGGGAUGACGGCCUUCGGGUUGUAAACCGCUUUCGCCUGUGACGAAGCGUGAGUGACGGUAAUGGGUAAAGAAGCACCGGCUAACUACGUG
This 468-nucleotide ribosomal RNA is filed under the name uncultured bacterium. RNAcentral's name for it is "partial 16S ribosomal RNA". It matches the Rfam family "Bacterial small subunit ribosomal RNA", at positions 28 to 507 of the family's 1533-position model. The record is from RNAcentral.